This 52-nucleotide microRNA precursor is filed under the name Nomascus leucogenys (northern white-cheeked gibbon). Its description in RNAcentral is "mir-1302 microRNA precursor family". It matches the Rfam family "mir-1302 microRNA precursor family". Lineage: Eukaryota; Metazoa; Chordata; Mammalia; Primates; Hylobatidae. The record is from Rfam by way of RNAcentral.
AAUUUAGUGUAAGUAUGCCCCAUGCAAUAUUUAGGACAUACUUAUACUAAAA